Molecule: transfer RNA, 77 nt
Filed under: Pseudomonadota bacterium
Lineage: Bacteria; Pseudomonadati; Pseudomonadota
Also listed under: 2 other names
Description: tRNA-Pro
Rfam family: tRNA
About the family: Transfer RNA (tRNA) molecules are approximately 80 nucleotides in length.
Source: RNAcentral
CGGGGCGUAGCGCAGCUUGGUAGCGCACUUGCAUGGGGUGCAAGGGGUCGGAGGUUCAAAUCCUCUCGUCCCGACCA